AGAAAGAUUGAAAGAGAGCUUGAGAGAGAUUGAGAUAUAUUGAUGAAUUUGUGAAUUAAAAUGAAAGAAUGAGGGGGUAUUUAUAGUUGAUAAAUGGAAAAAUUGUGUAAUUAUAUAAAGUUUGGGGGGGAGGGGGUUAAAUGGCUAUUUUUGAAAAUUCCAAACGGCUAAUUUUGAAAAAGAGCCGUUUGAAAUUUAAAAAAAAAAU
This 208-nucleotide long non-coding RNA is filed under the name Nicotiana benthamiana. RNAcentral's name for it is "long non-coding RNA (NBEN_LNC032163)". The record is from RNAcentral. Lineage: Eukaryota; Viridiplantae; Streptophyta; Magnoliopsida; Solanales; Solanaceae.